GGGGAAUAUUGCACAAUGAGGGAAACCCUGAUGCAGCAACGCCGCGUGGAGGAAGAAGGUUUUCGGAUUGUAAACUCCUGUCUUUUGGGACGAUAAUGACGGUACCAAAGGAGGAAGCCACGGCUAACUACGUGCCAGCAGCCGCGGUAAUACGUAGGUGGCGAGCGUUGUCCGGAAUUACUGGGCGUAAAGGGCGCGUAGGCGGCCUGAUAAGUCAGAUGUGAAACCCCCAGGCUCAACUUGGGGCAUGCAUUUGAAACUGUCGGGCUCGAGUGUCGGAGAGGGAAGCGGAAUUCCUAGUGUAGCGGUGAAAUGCGUAGAUAUUAGGAGGAACACCAGUGGCGAAGGCGGCUUUCUGGACGAUAACUGACGCUGAGGCGCGAAAGCGUGGGGAGCAAAC
RNAcentral lists this ribosomal RNA (400 nucleotides) under uncultured bacterium. RNAcentral describes it as "bacterial SSU rRNA". It matches the Rfam family "Bacterial small subunit ribosomal RNA", at positions 356 to 773 of the family's 1533-position model. The record is from RNAcentral.